This 253-nucleotide ribosomal RNA is filed under the name uncultured bacterium. RNAcentral's name for it is "partial 16S ribosomal RNA". It matches the Rfam family "Bacterial small subunit ribosomal RNA", at positions 524 to 776 of the family's 1533-position model. The record is from RNAcentral.
UACGUAGGGACCAAGCGUUGUUCGGAAUUACUGGGCGUAAAGCGCACGCAGGCGGUCUUUUAAGUUUGACGUGAAAGCUCCCGGCUUAACUGGGAGAGGUCGUUGAAUACUGGAAGACUUGAGGCAAUGAGAGGGGUGUAGAAUUCCCGGUGUAGUGGUGGAAUGCGUAGAUAUCGGGGGGAAUACCAGUGGCGAAAGCGGCACCCUAGCGUUAGCCUGACGCUCAUGUGCGAAAGCGUGGGGAGCGAACGGG